UCGAUAGUCUUUCGCCCCAUGCGCAGAUUUGACGAUCGAUUUGCACGUCAGAACCGCUGCGAGCCUCCACCAGAGUUUCCUCUGGCUUCACCCUAUCCACGCAUAGUUCACCAUCUUUCGGGUCCGAACAGUUAUGCUCUUACUCAAAUCCAUCCGAAGACAUCAGGAUCGGUCGAUGAUGCACCCGUAAGGGCUCUCACCUCCGUUCACUUUCAUUACGCUUGAGGGUUUAACACCCAAAAACUCGCAUAAAUGUUCGACUCCUUGGUCCGUGUUUCAAGACGGGUGGCUGAUGACCAUUAUGCCAGCAUCCUAGCCGAAGCGCGGUCCUCAGUCCCAGCGGCGGUAUUACACAGCAGGCUAUAACACUCCCGGGGGAGUCACGUUCCUGAAGUCUUUAUCCCGCCGCCGAAACUGAUGCUGGCCUCAACCAAGCGGAGUGCACCGGUGAGAACACCGGAUGAUCCGCAAGGCAAAGGUCUGGUCACAAGCCCUUCCCUUUCAACAAUUUCACGUACUAUUUAACCCUCUUUUCAAAGUGCUUUUCAUCUUUCGAUCACUCUACUUGUGCGCUAUCGGUCUCUGGCCGGUAUUUAGCUUUAGAAGAAAUUUACCUCCCAUUUAGAGCAGCAUUCCCAAACUACUCGACUCGUCGAAGGAGAUUUACAGAGGCUCGGCAUCCAACCGUACGGGGCUCUCACCCUCUAAGGCGUCCUGUUCCAAGGAACUCGGAAGGUACCUAACCAAAAUCAUCCUCUACAAAUUACAACUCGGACCCGAGGGCCAGAUUUCAAAUUUGAGCUGUUGCCGCUUCACUCGCCGUUACUAGGGCAU
This 834-nucleotide ribosomal RNA is filed under the name Microdochium seminicola. RNAcentral's name for it is "partial 28S ribosomal RNA". The record is from RNAcentral. Lineage: Eukaryota; Fungi; Ascomycota; Sordariomycetes; Xylariales; Microdochiaceae.